UACAGAGGGGGCAAGCGUUGUUCGGAAUUACUGGGCGUAAAGGGCGCGUAGGCGGCCACCGCAAGUCAAUUGUGAAAUCUCCGGGCUUAACUCGGAAAGGUCAACUGAUACUGCGGGGCUAGAGUGCGGAAGGGGCAACUGGAAUUCUCGGUGUAGCGGUGAAAUGCGUAGAUAUCGUGAGGAACACCAGAGGCGAAGGCGGCUACCUGGACAAUUGCUGACGCUCAGGCACGAAAGCGUGGGGAGCAAAAGGG
Molecule: ribosomal RNA, 254 nt
Filed under: uncultured bacterium
Lineage: Bacteria
Description: partial 16S ribosomal RNA
Rfam family: Bacterial small subunit ribosomal RNA
Source: RNAcentral